RNAcentral lists this ribosomal RNA (908 nucleotides) under uncultured bacterium. RNAcentral's name for it is "bacterial SSU rRNA". It matches the Rfam family "Bacterial small subunit ribosomal RNA", at positions 48 to 971 of the family's 1533-position model. The record is from RNAcentral.
CUUACACAUGCAAGUCAACUUGAAUUUGGUUUUUUUAACUUAGAUUUGGGUGGCGGACGGGUGAGUAACGCGUAAAGAACUUGCCUCACAGCUAGGGACAACAUUUGGAAACGAAUGCUAAUACCUGAUAUUAUGAUUUUAAGGCAUCUUAGAAUUAUGAAAGCUAUACGCGCUGUGAGAGAGCUUUGCGUCCCAUUAGCUAGUUGGAGAGGUAACGGCUCACCAAGGCGAUGAUGGGUAGCCGGCCUGAGAGGGUGAACGGCCACAAGGGGACUGAGACACGGCCCUUACUCCUACGGGAGGCAGCAGUGGGGAAUAUUGGACAAUGGACCAAGAGUCUGAUCCAGCAAUUCUGUGUGCACGAUGACGUUUUUCGGAAUGUAAAGUGCUUUCAGUUGGGAAGAAAAAAAUGACGGUACCAACAGAAGAAGUGACGGCUAAAUACGUGCCAGCAGCCGCGGUAAUACGUAUGUCACGAGCGUUAUCCGGAUUUAUUGGGCGUAAAGCGCGUCUAGGUGGUUAUGUAAGUCUGAUGUGAAAAUGCAGGGCUCAACUCUGUAUUGCGUUGGAAACUGUGUAACUAGAGUACUGGAGAGGUAAGCGGAACUACAAGUGUAGAGGUGAAAUUCGUAGAUAUUUGUAGGAAUGCCGAUGGGGAAGCCAGCUUACUGGACAGAUACUGACGCUGAAGCGCGAAAGCGUGGGUAGCAAACAGGAUUAGAUACCCUGGUAGUCCACGCCGUAAACGAUGAUUACUAGGUGUUGGGGGUCGAACCUCAGCGCCCAAGCAAACGCGAUAAGUAAUCCGCCUGGGGAGUACGUACGCAAGUAUGAAACUCAAAGGAAUUGACGGGGACCCGCACAAGCGGUGGAGCAUGUGGUUUAAUUCGACGCAACGCGAGGAACCU